This is a non-coding RNA of Manis javanica (Malayan pangolin), 1068 nucleotides long. Lineage: Eukaryota; Metazoa; Chordata; Mammalia; Pholidota; Manidae. The record is from RefSeq and is a predicted model, not a curated record.
AACGGGAGCUAAGCGAAUAUGAUUCUUCCCUUAGAGUCCAGAUUUCAAGCCUAUUGCAUUGCUAGAAAAUCCUUCUGAAUUUCAGUAGAUGCAUAAUAAAUGCAUAAUUAGCUCUUUUCUUCUCUUUAUAUUCCUGCUGAAACAAUCCUAACCUCCUCACAAGCAGCUUGAUGCCACAACCAAAAAAGGGGGAAGUCACUUCGUUUCUGAGGGCAGAGAUCAAAGGACAUCAGUAGUUUCUCCAUACAUUACCUGUUCCAGCUCCCAGCUUCCACCCGACUUACCUACUCCAAAGUCUAGUGAAUUUUUAUCUAGUUCUUUGAAUGUGUACAUGCAGAUGGUCUAAGGCAAUGGCAAUAGGGAUGAAAGAGAGGACAGUGGAGGUGUGGCCCAACCAAACUGCCCCUGAGCCGCCCAGCCUGCUGUCUACCUCGCUGUCUUCCUUGAGUCAUCACCCCAGUUCCCCAACCUCCAAAUGCAGGAAAAUGAAGCCAAGAUAUUUUUGAGUCGCAACCCUAUGCUCAACAAUAUGUUUUGUACUUUCCUGUAUGUGUCCUCAUUUUUUCCUCAGAGCAAUCCUCUGAGGUAAGGGCGCCUCAUGAGGGCACGCACUGACACCACACGGGGCGGAGCGGAGACACUAGAGGCGGCGGCAGCAGCUGCAACAUGUUUGGGACUCUGAAAUCUGAGAAGUAAAUUGUGACUAGUUUAGUUUAGCCGAUUGGGGAAAGCAGAGAAGCAAUCAGAUUUACAUCACAGAAGCUGCAAAAGGAAUCAGUGACACUAGUCACCUAUGGAGGUGAGUAUGGGGCUAAAAACAGAAUGUUUGGUUGAAAGUCCACUUAACCCGAUACCUCUCCUCUGAGAGCAAGUGUGUGACUUCCCUGCCUCGACCAGCACAGGUCUGAGAAUUUAUACCAUGAAAAGCACCAAUUAUAGAGUCUCUGGUCAGGGGGACCCCAGAAGUCAAGGGUGUCAUCCUGAAAUAGGAAGAUUAAGUGAAAGUUUAGUCUCCCACUGAAUGUCAAGACUCCCAGCCGGUCCUCCCCUGGAACCCUGGUUAAUCUU